RNAcentral lists this transfer RNA (56 nucleotides) under Proboscia inermis. The record is from RNAcentral. Lineage: Eukaryota; Bacillariophyta; Melosirophyceae; Probosciales; Probosciaceae.
CUAGCGCAAUGGUAGUGCGUAUCACUCCUAAUGCUGUGGCUUCGGGUUCGAAUCCC